Molecule: ribosomal RNA, 721 nt
Filed under: Kitasatospora sp. PU-1-3/16
Lineage: Bacteria; Bacillati; Actinomycetota; Actinomycetes; Kitasatosporales; Streptomycetaceae
Description: bacterial SSU rRNA
Rfam family: Bacterial small subunit ribosomal RNA
Source: RNAcentral
GACGAACGCUGGCGGCGUGCUUAACACAUGCAAGUCGAACGGUGAAGCCCUUCGGGGUGGAUCAGUGGCGAACGGGUGAGUAACACGUGGGGAAUCUGCCCUGAACUCUGGGACAAGCCUUGGAAACGAGGUCUAAUACCGGAUAUGACCUUCUCCUGCAUGGGGGUUGGUGGAAAGCUCCGGCGGUUCAGGAUGAUCCCGCGGCCUAUCAGCUUGUUGGUGGGGUAAUGGCCUACCAAGGCGACGACGGGUAGCCGGCCUGAGAGGGCGACCGGCCACACUGGGACUGAGACACGGCCCAGACUCCUACGGGAGGCAGCAGUGGGGAAUAUUGCACAAUGGGCGAAAGCCUGAUGCAGCGACGCCGCGUGAGGGAUGACGGCCUUCGGGUUGUAAACCUCUUUCAGCAGGGAAGAAGCGCAAGUGACGGUACCUGCAGAAGAAGCACCGGCUAACUACGUGCCAGCAGCCGCGGUAAUACGUAGGGUGCGAGCGUUGUCCGGAAUUAUUGGGCGUAAAGAGCUCGUAGGCGGCCUGUCGCGUCGGAUGUGAAAGCCCGGGGCUUAACCCCGGGUCUGCAUUCGAUACGGGCAGGCUAGAGUGUGGUAGGGGAGAUCGGAAUUCCUGGUGUAGCGGUGAAAUGCGCAGAUAUCAGGAGGAACACCGGUGGCGAAGGCGGAUCUCUGGGCCAUUACUGACGCUGAGGAGCGAAAGCGUGGGG